AGCAGCCGCGGUAAAUUCCAGCUCCAAUAGCGUAUAUUAAAGUUGUUGCAGUUAAAAAGCUCGUAGUUGAACUUCAGACCUGACCGGGCGGUCCGCCUAACGGUGUGUACUGUCUGGCCGGGCCUUACCUCUUGGUGAGCCGGCAUGCCCUUCACUGGGUGCGUCGGGGAACCAGGACCUUUACCUUGAGAAAAUUAGAGUGUUCAAAGCAGGCUUACGCCGGAAUACAUUAGCAUGGAAUAAUAAAAUAGGACGUGCGGUUCUAUUUUGUUGGUUUCUAGAGUCGCCGUAAUGAUUAAUAGGGAUAGUUGGGGGCAUUUGUAUUGCGUUGCUAGAGGUGAAAUUCUUGGAUUUACGCAAGACAAACUAUUGCGAAAGCAUUUGCCAAGGAUGUUUUCAU
Molecule: ribosomal RNA, 400 nt
Filed under: uncultured Glomeromycotina
Lineage: Eukaryota; Fungi; Glomeromycota
Description: SSU rRNA
Rfam family: Eukaryotic small subunit ribosomal RNA
Source: RNAcentral